UUAUCCUACAUAGUAACUUUUUUCUGGAGAGGCGAAGCACCUUAAAACCAAAUAAAUUUAGUAUUUGGAGAAAAACUCAAUUAUAUUAGAAUGCGUCAUUUGUUCUCUUGAUGGUGUGAGGUUGCUGCUGCUGUUGAUAACCUAAUGCUUGCCCAAUAUUCAUGUCACAAACCUGUCCUUUCUGAUAGACUGAACCAUAUUCAGGUUACUCUUCCUUUUUGCCAUUACUUUUUUAGUUCGUGUUUUCUUGUAACUGCUAUGGUGGUUAAUUUUUCUGUAAGAUUAUGUGUUAAGAUUGACCUCUUGUAACUCCCUUUUGCUGUAACUAGGCUAACUGAAAAAAAUAAAACCCAAACCCAGAAAAAAUCUUUAUUUGUAAGUCAACCGUCUUCCUAGCUGAUUACACUGGUAUGAAAAGGGAUGGAUGUUACUGUAGUUUUUGUUUGUUUGCUUUGAAAAUCCAUGCUCUUUCCCACUAUUUUGGCUGUUACUGAGAGUUACAAAAGCAGCAGUUACCUUUUAUGCUCAGGAAUUUGCUUUUGUUUUUAGAGGAGAAUCUCUUGGUCACAGCAGUUCCUUAGCAUAUCCUUUAUUUUCCCCUCAAAAUGAAUUUUUGGCCAUUUUUAUCUUUUUUUAUGCUUAUUAUUUUGUUCUAGAUGAUGGUGAAAUUCAUAUGCUCUGCCAAAUUCAAUGAGAAAGGAAGAACCAGGUACACCUGGGGCAAGGACCAGUCUGCUGUAAUAUUACUCAAUUUCUCAAAACUCCUUCAUGUGAAGGCAAACAAAUAUAGUGAGCAGCUGUGUGUUUGCUCCCCAGUCACAGCCGCCUGCAUCAGCCAUGCAGUUAGUGUGCCCCUCAGUCGGAGCUGACAAGGCAUGUGCUAAGUGAACCUGACAUCACAAGCUUCCUCAAAGUGAUGGUGGAUACAAGACUUGUGCUGUGUCUGGAAAGAUAGGUCAGCCUAAAAGUUUCCAGAGCAUUUAUCUGCGAGUGUGUACCCACAAGCGUCAGCACCACUGUCAGGCUGCGAACUCUUCUGUCAAGUUCCUGCUUUGAAGAACAAAACAGAACCCCCCCCAAAAAACCUAGAGGAGUCAUUUCUGAGUUAGCAUCUGGAAUAAAGGAAUAACGUUGUGGCUUCUUUUGGAGUUGCUUGACAUUCCCGGAGCUACUCCAGGAGGGGGCCCAGAAAACAUGGGACACCCCUCUCUCACUCGGGUCCUGAGGCUGCUGAAAAGAGGAGGACUCAUUUAACAAGGAAUUAUGAGGGAGUAAUGCGACUGAAAGCCAGCUCUUGUGGCCUUCAUGGAUGAGCACGACAUUUUGACAGAGAAGAAAGCACAGGAGUUUCAACCUGGCUGCUCUCAGGAUGUGCUAAGCAGGAAGCACUGGAAAACCAGCCCGAGUCCAGACUUCU
This is a long non-coding RNA of Neopsephotus bourkii (Bourke's parrot), 1417 nucleotides long. RefSeq lists it as uncharacterized. NCBI's taxonomy places the organism in Eukaryota, Metazoa, Chordata, Aves, Psittaciformes, Psittacidae. The record is from RefSeq and is a predicted model, not a curated record. The transcript is spliced from 4 exons.